Molecule: ribosomal RNA, 431 nt
Filed under: uncultured bacterium
Lineage: Bacteria
Description: bacterial SSU rRNA
Rfam family: Bacterial small subunit ribosomal RNA
Source: RNAcentral
CGAACGCUGGCGGCAGGCUUAACACAUGCAAGUCGAACGGUUGUAGCAAUACAGCAGUGGCGCACGGGUGAGUAACGCGUGGAUAUCUGCCUUUGGUUCGGAAUAACUCCGGGAAACUGGAGCUAAUACCGGAUGGUUCCUGCGGGAUAAAGAUUUAUCGCCAAAAGAUGAGUCCGCGUACGAUUAGCUAGUUGGUGAGGUAAUGGCUCGCCAAGGCGACGAUCGUUAGCUGGUCUGAGAGGACGAUCAGCCACACUGGGACUGAGACACGGCCCAGACUCCUACGGGAGGCAGCAGUGGGGAAUAUUGGACAAUGGGGCAACCCUGAUCCAGCCAUGCCGCGUGAGUGAUGAAGGCCUUCGGGUUGUAAAGCUCUUUUGGCGGGGACGAUGAUGACGGUACCCGCAGAAUAAGCCCCGGCUAACUUCGUG